This is a long non-coding RNA of Solea solea (common sole), 566 nucleotides long. RefSeq lists it as uncharacterized. The record is from RefSeq and is a predicted model, not a curated record. The transcript is spliced from 3 exons. NCBI's taxonomy places the organism in Eukaryota, Metazoa, Chordata, Actinopteri, Pleuronectiformes, Soleidae.
GUCAACCGCAGGGCAGUUAGUUCUGGUGAGACACAAGUUAAUUAACUAAGUCAAGUGUGAAGUAAUUUAGUGGUCCUAAGUUUUUAUUCUUAUGGUGAACGGCCAGUUACCUGAUGUGAGGAACUUUGUGACCGACCGACAGGAUGGCGAUGAACAAAUGGCAACACUGGAGGCUUUGAUACGACACUUCACAAGGCAAUGAAUUCAUCUACAGCAAGGAUGAGAGGAGUAUAUCCAUCUUUCCUCUCCAACAUUCCAGUUGCAGCGGCCACAUUAAAUCCAGUGACGCUCAGCUGCGACUGAUCUCUAUGACACAGCACAGAAUAGCUUAAAUGCGGCAAAAUCGUCACUUCCAGGGAAGCUCAGCGUCUCUGGGAGCCACCAGCGCAGUGAGCGGGUGGGGACACUGGGCUGAUGCACGAUGAUUGGAGGCACUGUCUGAAAGGCGGGACCACUUUUUGAUUGACAAGACAGCAAAGCCUUUUCUGUUUCAGUCCCAGACUGAGAUAUGUGAGAUAUAGGCCAUUUGUGUUUGUACAUACACUGGAAAUAAAAAAACAACUAUU